Molecule: ribosomal RNA, 445 nt
Filed under: uncultured bacterium
Lineage: Bacteria
Description: partial 16S ribosomal RNA
Rfam family: Bacterial small subunit ribosomal RNA
Source: RNAcentral
GUAGGGAAUAUUGGGCAAUGGAGGCAACUCUGACCCAGCCAUGCCGCGUGCAGGAUGACGGCCCUCUGGGUUGUAAACUGCUUUUAUACGGGAAGAAAAAAUACUACGUGUAGUAUACUGACGGUACCGUAAGAAUAAGGAUCGGCUAACUCCGUGCCAGCAGCCGCGGUAAUACGGAGGAUCCAAGCGUUGUCCGGAUUUAUUGGGUUUAAGGGGUGCGUAGGCGGAUCUUUAAGUCAGUGGUGAAAGCCUGCAGCUUAACUGUAGAAUUGCCAUUGAAACUGAAGAUCUUGAAUGUGGUUAAAGUAGGCGGAAUGUAUCAUGUAGCGGUGAAAUGCUUAGAUAUGAUACAGAACACCGAUAGCGAAGGCAGCUUGCUGAACCAUUAUUGACGCUGAGGCACGAAAGCGUGGGGAGCGAACAGGAUUAGAAACCCCAGUAGUCC